GAUGAACGCUGGCGGCGUGCCUAAUACAUGCAAGUCGAGCGAACAGAUGAGGAGCUUGCUCCUCUGACGUUAGCGGCGGACGGGUGAGUAACACGUGGAUAACCUACCUAUAAGACUGGGAUAACUUCGGGAAACCUGAGCUAAUACCGGAUAAUAUAUUGAACCGCAUGGUUCAAUAGUGAAAGACGGUUUUGCUGUCACUUAUAGAUGGAUCCGCGCCGGAUUAGCUAGUUGGUAAGGUAACGGCUUACCAAGGCAACGAUGCGUAGCCGACCUGAGAGGGUGAUCAGCCACACUGGAACUGAGACACGGUCCAGACUCCUACGGGAGGCAGCAGUAGGGAAUCUUCCGCAAUGGGCGAAAGCCUGACGGAGCAACGCCGCGUGAGUGAUGAAGGUCUUCGGAUCGUAAAACUCUGUUAUUAGGGAAGAACAAAUGUGUAAGUAACUAUGCACGUCUUGACGGUACCUAAUCAGAAAGCAACGGCUAACUACGUG
RNAcentral lists this ribosomal RNA (497 nucleotides) under uncultured bacterium. RNAcentral's name for it is "partial 16S ribosomal RNA". It matches the Rfam family "Bacterial small subunit ribosomal RNA", at positions 28 to 507 of the family's 1533-position model. The record is from RNAcentral.